AGCGAACAGACGAGGAGCUUGCUCCUCUGACGUUAGCGGCGGACGGGUGAGUAACACGUGGAUAACCUACCUAUAAGACUGGGAUAACUUCGGGAAACCGGAGCUAAUACCGGAUAAUAUAUUGAACCGCAUGGUUCAAUAGUGAAAGACGGUCUUGCUGUCACUUAUAGAUGGAUCCGCGCCGCAUUAGCUAGUUGGUAAGGUAACGGCUUACCAAGGCAACGAUGCGUAGCCGACCUGAGAGGGUGAUCGGCCACACUGGAACUGAGACACGGUCCAGACUCCUACGGGAGGCAGCAGUAGGGAAUCUUCCGCAAUGGGCGAAAGCCUGACGGAGCAACGCCGCGUGAGUGAUGAAGGUCUUCGGAUCGUAAAACUCUGUUAUUAGGGAAGAACAAAUGUGUAAGUAACUAUGCACGUCUUGACGGUACCUAAUCAGAAAGCCACGGCUAACUAC
This 457-nucleotide ribosomal RNA is filed under the name uncultured Staphylococcus sp. Its description in RNAcentral is "bacterial SSU rRNA". It matches the Rfam family "Bacterial small subunit ribosomal RNA", at positions 65 to 504 of the family's 1533-position model. The record is from RNAcentral. Lineage: Bacteria; Bacillati; Bacillota; Bacilli; Caryophanales; Staphylococcaceae.